AUGGUUGGGCAUGAGAAUGCCGUGAAGUACAAGACUCUAAUUUACCUUGCAGGGCUAGCUUCUGCUGAGGUAAUUGCUGAUAUCGCUUUGUGCCCCUUUGAAGCUAUCAAGGUCCGUGUGCAGACACAACCUGGAUUUGCUCGUGGGUUGAGUGAUGGACUUCCCAAGUUCAUCAAAGCUGAGGGUGCUGCUGGGCUUUACAAGGGACUUGUUCCUCUUUGGGGUUGCCAGAUUCCUUAUAAGUGCUUUCUCUCAUCAUUCUGUUAUAGUCUUUUAAUUUGA
This 282-nucleotide ribosomal RNA is filed under the name Triticum aestivum (bread wheat). RNAcentral's name for it is "partial small subunit ribosomal RNA". Lineage: Eukaryota; Viridiplantae; Streptophyta; Magnoliopsida; Poales; Poaceae. The record is from RNAcentral.